Molecule: long non-coding RNA, 935 nt
Organism: Phragmites australis (common reed)
Lineage: Eukaryota; Viridiplantae; Streptophyta; Magnoliopsida; Poales; Poaceae
Exons: 3
Source: RefSeq, a predicted model, not a curated record
UGGUGGAAGAGCUCUCAUGGAGGUGCUCGUGCGGGUCCUCAACUGAUAGGUUUGGUGUGACAUGGCACCUUGAUAUCCUGACCUUAACGACACAAGAGACCCUUGGGCACAGCCAGCUUGGCAACAUCCGGGAAAGUUCAUGUUUGCAGCUGCAGCACCGCCCUCGCGUCCUCGUCCUGUGGCUGUACAUACGGGCAUAUGGUACUUGGUUUGGUGCAGGUGCAGCCCAGGGUUUUGGAAAAGAGAUAUCUCGAUUCCUAUUUACCAACUUUUCCGUUUUGGAGCUGGAUAUAAGGACAUAAGGGCAUGUUUAUGGCGCAAUGGUAUUGCACCUACUUGGGUUUUGCACCUUUAUACAAAGGCUUAAGUUGGCGAACUACGAAACUAUGAGGAGCUUGAAGUGUGCUCCGUAAAUUGCCGUUGUGAUCAGCCUAACAACUGGGAGAAGUCAAAGUACCUCCUUGACUGAACUUAAAAACGUAGAAAUCCAAGGCUUCAUAGGAGAAGAUCACGAGGUUGAUUUACUGAAAAUACUAUUCAGAUGUGCACCAAUGCUUGAACGAGUGACUCUGAGAUUAUCCAGCAUCGUCUCACAAAGUGGCAAUGCAUACAUGGAAAUUUGUAGUGUUUUAAAAGCAUAUCCUUCUGCGGAAUGCAAUGUUCAUCGCACAUUGAGGAGCAAGUUUUGUAGGUAUGAUUAGGAUACUCAUAGAUGUAACAGGAUAUGGUAUGCCGUAUGUUUUAGCCUAAUAUCGUGAAACUGAAACUUAUCCUUUUAUCUUUGUUAUGUUUUCCCAUGUAGGUUUUUGAAUAUGAGUUGCGAACUUAUGAUAGCUCUAUGAGCAUGUUGUGUUGAUUCCACAUAAUGGUGGUGGCUGUAAUGUUAUUAUUAAAUUAUUCAUACUAGCAAUGCUGAUAUGCUAUACUAAUGGUCU